GGAUGUGAAGGUAAUCUGGCUGUGACAUCUGUCACCCCACUGAUCGCCAGCAUUGCUUGUCUGAUCUGGCUGGCUAGGCAGGUGUCCCCUUUCUUCCUCACCAUGCCACGUGUGUCCCUCACAAAGCUGCACCCCCGGUCUCGGAGGAAAACCACCCUCAGAGAGGAAGACAGUUUCCUCAGUCAAGGGUAUACGAUUAGCUGUGCUCUCCUGCUAGAACCUCCAAAGAAGCUCUCACAUUAAAGGGAAAAAUGAGGAAGGGUUAAUUACAGAACCUCACCUUGACUUUAUUUAUAAUACUGAUGCACUGG
Molecule: small nuclear RNA, 311 nt
Filed under: Fukomys damarensis (Damara mole-rat)
Lineage: Eukaryota; Metazoa; Chordata; Mammalia; Rodentia; Bathyergidae
Description: 7SK RNA
Rfam family: 7SK RNA
About the family: 7SK was discovered as an abundant small nuclear RNA in the mid-70s but a possible function has only recently been suggested. Two independent studies have found that 7SK RNA binds the CDK9/cyclin T complex (known as elongation factor P-TEFb). P-TEFb activates transcription by phosphorylating the C-terminal domain of RNA polymerase II.
Source: Rfam by way of RNAcentral